AUUGAACGCUGGCGGCAUGCCUUACACAUGCAAGUCGAACGGUAACGGGCCUUCGGGUGCCGACGAGUGGCGAACGGGUGAGUAAUACAUCGGAACGUGCCCGAUCGUGGGGGAUAACGAGGCGAAAGCUUUGCUAAUACCGCAUACGAUCUACGGAUGAAAGCAGGGGACCGCAAGGCCUUGCGCGGACGGAGCGGCCGAUGGCAGAUUAGGUAGUUGGUGGGAUAAAAGCUUACCAAGCCGACGAUCUGUAGCUGGUCUGAGAGGAUGAUCAGCCACACUGGGACUGAGACACGGCCCAGACUCCUACGGGAGGCAGCAGUGGGGAAUUAUGGACAAUGGGCGCAAGCCUGAUCCAGCCAUGCCGCGUGCAGGAUGAAGGCCUUCGGGUUGUAAACUGCUUUUGUACGGAACGAAAAGCCUUCUUUUAAUACAGGAGGGUCAUGACGGUACCGUAAGAAUAAGCACCGGCUAACUACGUG
Molecule: ribosomal RNA, 482 nt
Filed under: uncultured bacterium
Lineage: Bacteria
Description: partial 16S ribosomal RNA
Rfam family: Bacterial small subunit ribosomal RNA
Source: RNAcentral